Long non-coding RNA from Acipenser ruthenus (sterlet), 1759 nucleotides. RefSeq lists it as uncharacterized. Lineage: Eukaryota; Metazoa; Chordata; Actinopteri; Acipenseriformes; Acipenseridae. The transcript is spliced from 4 exons. The record is from RefSeq and is a predicted model, not a curated record.
AGUUGAUCUAGUGAUGAGUUUAUACACACACACGGCAUGGGUCUAGCUAGGACGACUUUGUAAAGUCAGAAUGCAUCGGUAACAAUGCACCCCCCCCCCCCCAAAAAGAGAGAAAGAGACCUGUAGCAACGCUCAGCUGAUUCAUCAGGAAAACCACAAGCAUGUUUAAAAAGAGGAACAUUCAGCAAACUCUGAGGCAGCAGCUUCCUGAACGCAAUGGGUGCUCAUUUUACUUGAAACAUGAACUGGGUUUAGAGAAGGCUGUGGCACUCCUGUGACUGCUUUUCACAGAAAAAGCAGGCCUGCCAUGUCUCUGGUGCAGAUCUCCAGCAGUGAAUGUGACAGGGGCUCUGGUGCUGUAAACCAGGUGGCAGCUGGAGUGUACGUGGCAUGCUGGCCAGUCAUCACGUGCUAUUUGUGUCACAGCACCGGUCCAGUUACACCACACAGUUCAGGAGAGGGAACAGGAGACACACCACCAGCAAAUACCUGAGGAGCUUGAACGCAGAAGCACUGGGGACGACCACCGGCUGAGCCAGCAGAUGUGUUCUCCGAGCUGCAGUGGUGCCUCCCAACUUGCCCAGGAACGACUCCUCCUUUUUCAUCUUGCUGUUAGACUGCACGGUCGGUGAUCGUAUUGGAGUCGAACUAGACAUGCUAUUCUCGUUUCAACCCAACCAAAACAACAACACGAAAUCCGUUUUGUAAAGGAGCAGCCUCCCUGAGCGGCAGCACACCACAAAGCAUUUGCUGAUCGGGGUAGGUGUUCAAGGAGGAGGAACGUGAGCGAGCGAGCGCAAAAAGACGAAGGUGAAGGUAAGACGAAAGAAAGCAAUUGCUACUCGUGCUGGGCAGACCGGCAUGGUAUUUGUUUGGGUGUUCAAGAGUUGUUUUUGAUUACUCUUUUAAAUUUCUCUGUGAGCAUUGUUUUUGUUUAAUUAUUUUUGUUUGAAUAAAAACAGCCCCAGCACUUUCAACCCCUCAGCUUCCGGGCAGGUGAGGUGAUAAAUGCAUCAGUAGAUGCAUUAAAAAACCUCUGUCAAGAUGAAGAUUUCUGGGAUGAACACUAUAGUGUAGCUGUAGAUGUGCAUCCUACAAAGAGACAGAGAACCACAAGUAAGCAGCUAGCUGAUUCUGUUGUUCUCAACACUAGGACAUUCAGACUCUGCUAAUACUGCUAAAUCUGACUGCAGUCUGACAUUAAAGAGACCUAUGUUAAACAUUCUAGAUAGAGCAAUGUCAGAGAUGGACACAGAUUUUCUCAGAAGAAUCUGGAUUUAAUGAAGUCUUUGUCCUGCCUUGUACCCCAAUCUGGUACAUUUCUUGAUGCUACCAUGCUAGAGCCUCUGCAGAUGAUAGCUGUUGUUGACAAAAGUGACAUGGCCAAUGAAAUUGUUGUAACUAAACCUAUGUUGUUUAAAAAACUCAACAAAGAUGCCGACUGUACUGCUGUCUGUAAACCUCUGCAUGGAUAUGCAGGUGCAUUUCCUUUGCUGCAUAAGGAAUUACCUAUAAGCCUAUAUUAUUAGUGCAACAAAAAAUGACUAUGUUUAAAGGUAUGUGUCUAAAUGGUGGCCCCUCUAAGAGGUCUACUGGCCCCCCAUCCUAAAGCAGCUGGAGCCAGACCUGCUUCCGGGUCUGGGUACGUCACCACACAAGCCGUCUGCCACAGUUCCUUAUUCUGGGUAAAUGCAUCAAACUGUUUGGCACACGGGAUAUGCAAUUCACAGGAAUCUGGCCUUGCUCCUCUCCCUCUCCC